GGGGGAGGUGGGGAGAAAGGAGAGAGGUAGGGUGUUCAACAAGGGGAAGAGGGGGAAGGUGAGGAGAAAGGAGAGAAGUAGGGUGUUCAACAAGGGGAGGUGGGGAGAAAGGAGAGAGGUAGGGUGUUCAACAAGGGGAGGUGAGGAGAAAGGAGAGAGGUAGGGUGUUCAACAAGGGGAGAAGGGGGAAGGAGAGAGGUAGGGUGUUCAACAAGGGGAGGAGGGGGAGGAGAGAGGUAGGGUGUUCAACAAGGGGAGGAGGAC
Molecule: long non-coding RNA, 264 nt
Organism: Oncorhynchus tshawytscha (Chinook salmon)
Lineage: Eukaryota; Metazoa; Chordata; Actinopteri; Salmoniformes; Salmonidae
Source: Ensembl